CAAAAACAUAGCCUUGGGUUAUUUUCCAAGGUAAUUUCUGCCCACUGAUUUUAAAUGCCGCAGUACCCUGACUGUGCAAAGGUAGCGCAAUCAAUUGUCUUUUAAUUAAAGUCCUGUAUGAAAGAAAACAUGGGGGCCCGCUUUACCAAUGAUGAGAAAUGAAAUUAAUUAGGUAGUGAAAAAGCUACUAGUGAAAUAAUAGACGAGAAGACCCUAGAAAUUUUUAUAGAGGUUUUUGUUGGGGCAACAUAGUUACAAAUAAUUAACAGUAUGUACAAGAAAUGUAGUAGAGAGAUAAAUUACUCUAGGGAUAACAGCAUAAUCAAUAAAUGUUUGUGACCUCGAUGUUGGAUUAGGGAAUUGUCACUUAGAAGGUAAUCAAGUGUGCUCUGUUCGAGCA
This 400-nucleotide ribosomal RNA is filed under the name Austrochloritis victoriae. RNAcentral describes it as "partial 16S ribosomal RNA". It matches the Rfam family "Bacterial large subunit ribosomal RNA", at positions 1808 to 2587 of the family's 2925-position model. The record is from RNAcentral. Lineage: Eukaryota; Metazoa; Mollusca; Gastropoda; Stylommatophora; Camaenidae.